GAUGAACGCUGGCGGCGUGCCUAAUACAUGCAAGUCGAGCGAACAGAUGAGGAGCUUGCUCCUCUGACGUUAGCGGCGGACGGGUGAGUAACACGUGGAUAACCUACCUAUAAGACUGGGAUAACUUCGGGAAACCGGAGCUAAUACCGGAUAAUAUAUUAAACCGCAUGGUUCAAUAGUGAAAGACGGUUUUGCUGUCACUUAUAGAUGGAUCCGCGCCGCAUUAGCUAGUUGGUAAGGUAACGGCUUACCAAGGCAACGAUGCUUAGCCGACCUGAGAGGGUGAGCGGCCACACUGGAACUGAGACACGGUCCAGACUCCUACGGGAGGCAGCAGUAGGGAAUCUUCCGCAAUGGGCGAAAGCUUGAAGGAGCAACGCCGCGUGAGUGAUGAAGGUCUUCGGAUCGUAAAACUCUGUUAUGAGGGAAGAACAAAUGUGUAAGUAACUAUGCACGUCUUGACGGUACCUAAUCAGAAAGCCACGGCUAACUACGUG
This 497-nucleotide ribosomal RNA is filed under the name uncultured bacterium. RNAcentral's name for it is "partial 16S ribosomal RNA". It matches the Rfam family "Bacterial small subunit ribosomal RNA", at positions 28 to 507 of the family's 1533-position model. The record is from RNAcentral.